GGAUUAGAUACCCUGGUAGUCCACGCCGUAAACGAUGAGAACUAGAUGUUGGGAGGAAUAGCCUCUCGGUGUCGCAGCUAACGCAUUAAGUUCUCCGCCUGGGGAGUACGCCGGCAACGGUAAAACUCAAAGGAAUUGACGGGGACCCGCACAAGCGGUGGAGCAUGUGGUUUAAUUCGAUGCAACGCGAAGAACCUUACCUGCCCUUGACAUACUCGGAACUUUUCAGAGAUGAAUUGGUGCCUUCGGGAACCGAGAUACAGGUGCUGCAUGGCUGUCGUCAGCUCGUGCUG
This 293-nucleotide ribosomal RNA is filed under the name uncultured bacterium. Its description in RNAcentral is "partial 16S ribosomal RNA". It matches the Rfam family "Bacterial small subunit ribosomal RNA", at positions 775 to 1067 of the family's 1533-position model. The record is from RNAcentral.